Non-coding RNA from Ictidomys tridecemlineatus (thirteen-lined ground squirrel), 659 nucleotides. Lineage: Eukaryota; Metazoa; Chordata; Mammalia; Rodentia; Sciuridae. The record is from RefSeq and is a predicted model, not a curated record.
AGAUUGCAAGCAGUACUUUUGGAGAAAUGUGUCAUAGAAGCAAGAAUGAUAAAUCUGAAUACAAAUUUUAUUACAGAAGGAAUAACGGCAUGUAACAACCCAUUACAAAGAUUUAUUCAAAAAAAAUUAUUGAGUGCUCACACAUCACAUCUACAAUUGCUGCUUCUGUAUCUGAGGCUGAGUCUGAAGUGAGAAGAUCAAGCAUUGCAUAAGAAAUAUAGAUAUUGUAAAGGAGAACAAGAGUAUAUCAGAAACUGUGGGAACAAUGAAUUACCUGACAGAAAAAGGUUUCACCUGCACUGCCAAACUUCCACUGCAUGAUAAAAAGAUUUUAUACAGCUUUUAUGUAGCCCAUAAUGGCUGUUGGCAACUGUGACAGACAAAGACCAACCAUUACCUUAUUUCACAGAUCACACAAAACAGCAAGUGAACCAUGGAAAGGAAUGGAGUGAAGGACAAGCACCUCAAGUCACUUCAGUUAGAAGAUGCAGCCGAAAACACAGUAAAAUUUCAGCAAUGUCGGAAAUGUAGCCAAAAAUACAUAUUAUUCAAACAAAUUCUCUUUUCAUAUUUCUCAGUAGAAAGAAAAAUUCAACAAAGCAUCUUAUUUUCUGUACCUGCAUUGUACAAAAGUUGAAUUGCAAAUGAAAAUAAAUGUU